RNAcentral lists this ribosomal RNA (121 nucleotides) under Mobilicoccus pelagius NBRC 104925. The record is from RNAcentral. Lineage: Bacteria; Bacillati; Actinomycetota; Actinomycetes; Micrococcales; Dermatophilaceae.
CGGCGGUCAUAGCGAAAGGGAAACGCCCGGUCCCAUUCCGAACCCGGAAGCUAAGCCUUUCAGCGCCGAUGGUACUGCACUGGAGACGGUGUGGGAGAGUAGGACGCCGCCGGACAAACAU